AGCGAGCUCCCUCCCACGCCGCGGCUGCUACUCCGAGGGCGGCGCGGAGCCCGGCCUUGGCCUUGGCCUCCGGGCGCCGGGGCUGCUGCCGCCGCGGGGCUUGCUGCUGCGCCUGCCGCUGCCGGGCCCGAGGCUGCCGCCGCCGCCGCUCGGGGACGCCAGGCUCCGGUGCCUUCGGUGCCUUCGCUCCCGCUCCCACGUUCACAACCCCGAGGGCCGGGGAGAGGCGUCCGCGCGAGGUCGGAAUUGGGAUUAAUAACAAGGCUCGAGCGGCCGGCGGAGCUGGGGGGACUGGCGGGGCGUCACACGUCCACGUCCACAGAGCCAUGCUGCGGAGGAGGCCGGCGAACCCUCCUCGCCCGGUGUUCCUGCCGGACGCGGCGCCGUUUGCCGCUCGCAGGCCUGAGGCGGCCUGAGCGGGAAGCGCUGCUCGGGAGCUAACGAGACGUCAGGUCAGUAGAGGGCAGCCCGAGUGGUUCAGUGGUUUAGCACCGCCUUCAGUCCAGGGCGAGAUCCUGGAGACCUGGAUUGAGUCCCAAGUCAUCGGGCUCCCUGCAUGGAGCCUGCUUCUCCCUCUGCCUCUCUCUCUCUCUCUCUCUCUCUCUCUGUGUCGCUCAUGAAUAAAUAAAUAAAAUCUUUUUUUUAAAUAAAUAAA
Molecule: long non-coding RNA, 655 nt
Filed under: Canis lupus dingo (dingo)
Lineage: Eukaryota; Metazoa; Chordata; Mammalia; Carnivora; Canidae
Description: lncRNA (ENSCAFG00020011086.1)
Source: RNAcentral